Molecule: ribosomal RNA, 624 nt
Filed under: uncultured bacterium
Lineage: Bacteria
Description: bacterial SSU rRNA
Rfam family: Bacterial small subunit ribosomal RNA
Source: RNAcentral
AGCAAAGCUCGUAAGGGCGCUGGGAGAUGGGCCUGUGGCCGAUUAGCUCGCUGGUGGGGUAAGAGCCUACCAGGGCAACGAUCGGUAGCUGGUCUGAGAGGACGAGCAGCCACACUGGGAUUGAGAACGGCCCAGACUCCUACGGGGGGCAGCAGUGAGGAAUUUUCCGCAAUGGUCGCAAGACUGACGGAGCAACGCCGCGUGCCGGAAGACGGCCUUCGGGUUGUAAACGGCUUUUCCCAGGGACGAGCAAGGACGGUACCUGGGGAAGCAGCCCCGGCUAACUACGUGCCAGCAGCCGCGGUAAGACGUAGGGGGCGAGCGUUGUCCGGAGUUACUGGGCGUAAAGGGCGCGCAGGCGGUGUGGCGCGUUUCCGGUGCCAGUUUUUCGCUUAACGAAGAGCAUGCCGGGAAGACGGUCACACUUGAGGCCCUCAGAGGGACAUAGAAUUCCGGGUGGAGUGGUGAAAUGCGUAGAGAUCCGGAGGAAUACCAAAGGCGAAGGCAGUGUCCUGGGACGCGCCUGACGCUGAGGCGCGAAAGCCAGGGGAGCGAACGGGAUUAGAUACCCCGGGUAGUCCUGGCCGUAAACGAUGACCACCAGGUGUGCGGAGUAUCGACCCU